UAUGACUCACUUACCAAGUUGGGCAUUGGUGACAUAUAUGCACCAACUUGAGGAGGAGUGUUGACGUGAGUCUCCUAAUUAAUCAAGGAGAUUUACUCCCUUGAUUAAUUAAGGGAUUUACUGUCCUAUUUUUUUAUAUAGUUGAUAAAUCAUUGUAUAAUUAUGAGAUACUUUCCUAAUUCUUUACUGUAUCUAAUUCCUUGUAUAGCACCCUGUAAACUCUUAUAUUUACCUUCUUAUGGAGAAGAAUAAAUUUAACCAAAUACAUUCAAACCAUAUUCAUAUUUGAGCAGGGAACAGUCAAUUUAAAAAAAUAAUAAUAAUUAGCAAUGAUAAAAACGAGAACUAAAACAUAGAGUUUAAAAAAAUAAUAAAUGGGGGACAUGUGUCACUCAAAUACAUAGGGUACCGGAUGGAGACAGACAAAUUGGGUACAUAACAUCUCAACUUGCUGCUAACACAGUCUAGCUUACUGGGAAAGGGCUUUCACUUAUAGGUCAGUGAUCUUAGGUUUGAACCCCCCAUAACACCUUGGCAGUGUGUGUGUGUGUGUGUGUGAGAAAAUGCUCCUUCCCCUUCUAACUUAAAAAAAAACAAAAAACAAAAAAACAAAUCAUGAGAGAAAGUGAGAGUUCCUUGAACCCUUGUGAUAUGGAUAUGCUAAUAAGGAUAAAUGGUGUACCACUAGAGUUUUAAUUAAUUCGCUACAUGUUUCACAUAAAACAAAGAGGUAACAUUUAUGUACACUGAAUCAACAAAGUAACGUUAUAACCCAAAAGAAAAAAAAGAAAACAAAUGAAAAGUACCAAAAAUCUGCGAAGGAUAAACCAACAAACCUGAGAAAACAAGAACAAGAAGGAAGAAACAGAAAAAAGAAAAG
This 880-nucleotide long non-coding RNA is filed under the name Prunus persica (peach). RNAcentral's name for it is "long non-coding RNA (PPER_LNC007317)". The record is from RNAcentral. Lineage: Eukaryota; Viridiplantae; Streptophyta; Magnoliopsida; Rosales; Rosaceae.